AAAACUUUCAACAACGGAUCUCUUGGUUCUCGCAUCGAUGAAGAACGCAGCGAAAUGCGAUAAGUAAUAUGAAUUGCAGAUUUUCGUGAAUCAUCGAAUCUUUGAACGCACAUUGCGCCCUUUGGUAUUCCAAAGGGCAUGCCUGUUUGAGCGUCAUUUCUCUCUCAAACCCUCGGGUUUGGUAUUGAGUGAUACUCUUAGUCGAACUAGGCGUUUGCUUGAAAAGUAUUGGCACGAGUGGUACUAAAUAGUACUGACAGAAUAUUUCAAUGUAUUAGGUUUAUCCAACUCGUUGAGACUUCUGGCGGUGAAUUUUUGGUAUAUUGGCUUUGCCUUACAAAACAACAAACAAGUUUGACCUCAAAUCAGGUAGGAUUACCCGCUGAACUUAAGCAUAUCAAUAAGCGGAGGAAAAGAAACCAACAGGGAUUGCCUUAGUAACGGCGAGUGAAGCGGCAAAAGCUCAAAUUUGAAAUCUGGCACCUUCGGUGUCCGAGUUGUAAUUUGAAGAAGGUAACUUUGGAGUCAGCUCUUGUCUAUGUUCCUUGGAACAGGACGUCACAGAGGGUGAGAAUCCCGUGCGAUGAGAUGUCUGAUUCUAUGUAAAGUGCUUUCGAAGAGUCGAGUUGUUUGGGAAUGCAGCUCUAAGUGGGUGGUAAAUUCCAUCUAAAGCUAAAUAUUGGCGAGAGACCGAUAGCGAACAAGUACAGUGAUGGAAAGAUGAAAAGAACUUUGAAAAGAGAGUGAAAAAGUACGUGAAAUUGUUGAAAGGGAAGGGUUUGAGAUCAGACUUGGUAUUUUGUAUGUCUUGCUUUCGGGUGGGGCCUCUACAGUUUACUGGGCCAGCAUCGGUUUGGACGGUAGGAUAAUGACAUUGGAAUGUGGCACCACUUCGGUGGUGUGUUAUAGACUUUGUUGAUACUGCCUGUCUAGACCGAGGACUGCGUCUUUGACUAGGAUGCUGGCAUAAUGAUCUUAAACCGCCCGUCUUGAAACACGGACCAAGGAGUCUAACGUCUAUGCGAGUGUUUGGGUGUAAAACCCGUACGCGUAAUGAAAGUGAACGUAGGUGAGAGCUCUUUUGAGUGCAUCAUCGACCGAUCCUGAUGUCUUCGGAUGGAUUUGAGUAAGAGCAUAGCUGUUGGGACCCGAAAGAUGGUGAACUAUGCCUGAAUAGGGUGAAGCCAGAGGAAACUCUGGUGGAGGCUCGUAGCGGUUCUGACGUGCAAAUCGAUCCGUCGAAUUUGGGUAUAGG
Molecule: ribosomal RNA, 1255 nt
Filed under: Scheffersomyces sp. INBio_4510C
Lineage: Eukaryota; Fungi; Ascomycota; Pichiomycetes; Serinales; Debaryomycetaceae
Description: eukaryotic LSU rRNA
Rfam family: Eukaryotic large subunit ribosomal RNA (bases 356-1255)
Source: RNAcentral